Molecule: ribosomal RNA, 121 nt
Filed under: Bison bison bison
Lineage: Eukaryota; Metazoa; Chordata; Mammalia; Artiodactyla; Bovidae
Source: RNAcentral
GUCUCAGGCCGUAUCAGCCUGAAGGCGCCCGAUCUCGUCUGAUACUCGGAAGCUAAGCAGGGUCGGGCCUGGUUAGGAUCUUGGAUGGGAGACCACCUGGGAAUCCCGGGUGCUCGAGGCU